Vicia faba (fava bean) is the source of this 219-nucleotide non-coding RNA. NCBI's taxonomy places the organism in Eukaryota, Viridiplantae, Streptophyta, Magnoliopsida, Fabales, Fabaceae. The record is from the annotation of a GenBank genome assembly.
AUGGCUAUCCAAGAAGCUUUGUUAGACAAGCCAAGAAAAUCGAUUCCAAAAACAUUUUGGUUAAUCCUCUCUUUAGCUGCUAUCAUAAGCUCAUCAGCCCUUAUUGCUACUCAUCUCAAGAAACCAACCUCCUUCUUCCACUUCUCUUCUGCUCCAAAUCUGUGUCAGCAUGCUCUUGAUACAGAAGCAUGCUUAACUCAUGUAUCUGAAGUUGUUUAA